This 430-nucleotide ribosomal RNA is filed under the name uncultured bacterium. RNAcentral's name for it is "bacterial SSU rRNA". It matches the Rfam family "Bacterial small subunit ribosomal RNA", at positions 355 to 776 of the family's 1533-position model. The record is from RNAcentral.
UGGGGAAUUUUCCGCAAUGGGCGAAAGCCUGACGGAGUGACGCCGCGUGUGGGAUGAAGGCCUUCGGGUCGUAAACCACUGUCAGUGGGAAAGAAGGGCAUCGGCGCGAUAACCGCCGGUGUUUGACGGUACCUGCAGAGGAAGCCCCGGCCAACUCUGUGCCAGCAGCCGCGGUAAGACAGAGGGGGCAAGCGUUGCUCGGAAUUACUGGGCGUAAAGGGCGCGUAGGCGGGAUGGCAAGUCGGUCGUGAAAUCCUUCGGCCCAACCGAAGAACGUCGAUCGAUACUGCUGUUCUAGAGGAUUGCAGAGGAGACUGGAAUUCCCGGUGUAGCGGUGAAAUGUGUAGAGAUCGGGAGGAACACCGGUGGCGAAGGCGGGUCUCUGGGCAAUUCCUGACGCUGAGGCGCGAAAGCGUGGGGAGCAAACGGG